CUUAGUUUUGCCUCUUUCUGAGGUGAUGGUAUCCUUGUUUCUGUUCCUUUAUUCUUUAGUCUCAACACACCUACCAGGAUGAGCUUAUCCACAUCCAUGGUGCCAACUGCCUAUCCUGCUCUCCCCAAAGGUAAAUGAGUAUGUAGAUAAAUGUGUGUGUGCACGCACACCCCCCAAUCUCAAACCCAGAUUUCUAUCUCGAACUCCUAGCCCAUAUAUUCAACUCCUAUUAUACAUUUUCUUUUUGGAUAUUCCAUAGGAAUCUUAAACUCAACAUGUUCUAAACCUGGUUCUCAUCUCCUUCCUAACACUAGCCCCCCCUUACUGAAUGGUCUUCUAGUAGUUCCUGUGUUGGUGGAGGGAACCAACAGGGUUGCCCAACACACAAACCUGAAUUAUUGUUGACUUCUCUCCCUGGCAUGUCUCUUCCUCCAUCCAAUAAAUGACUGAGUCCUGCUGAUUUUGAUGUUCUUAAUAUCUCCCCAAGUUUCAUCUGUCUCUUUGCAGGUCCAGUUAUUCUCUCAUUUCAGGCCCUGUAGUCUCCUGCCUUGAAUGGUGCAUGAGUUGUCUGCAUAUGGCCUUGUUCCCCCUACACUACUUUCUCCCUGUCACUCGUGGUAUUAAACACAUGCUUUUCCUUGCUUAAAACUCCUAGGUGCCUUUGGAGAAAAGAACACACUCCUUGUCAUAGUACAAAAGGUUACUUAAUCCUCAUCUGCUCCAUUUCCUCAUCUGUAAUAUGGGAAUAAGUGGACCUACUUAGUAAGAUGCUGUGAUAAAUGGAUGAGAACACUGGUCAAGCUCCUUACUGCAGUUUCCAGAAGGCAGUUUGGACAUUGUUACAUUGACACUGCUGAGCAGCAACAAUGGAGGAGAGAGUUAGGAAGCUACUACAGAAUCCAGGGACGAGAGAAAUGGUUGCUUAGACCUGGAUGACAGUGAAAGAGGGAAGAAGUGAUGGAUUCUGGAUGGUAUAGAAUUUGCUGAGCAAUUGGAUGUAGGUAUGAGAGACAAGAGGAGCCAGCAUAACUCCAAAGAUUCAGCAUGAGCAACUGGAUAUAUUUUCAAUAUUUGCAUUUUACAGGAAAGGUAACUAGGUAUUAUUCCAAAGCGUAUGGUCUUCCCACAAUGUUUCAUUACUUGAGGAAAAACGCAACUGAAAUUAUGUGCGUAAAGCAUUACCACACAGAUUACAGACUUUUCAUUUUACAACUGAAAGUUUAAUAAUUGGUAAAAUCACCCUGACUCAUUGGAUUUAUUGUUCAACAAUAAAUUAUUGACACAUAUGGUACAGGCUGGAAAGAGGAUAGGAAAUUUACAGAUGACAGAAUCAUACCAGGUCAUCUAGGGACACUUGGGUAGAGCUCUACAUUCUUGAGGCUGAUGGCAUGAUAAAUUAUCCAUAGAAUCUCCCUGGAAACCAAUGUUUGACAGAAGGAGAUGGAGAACAGACUUUCCUGUGAUGAGAUAGGCAAACACCGUUUUGCUCUGGCUUCUUCAUUUCAACUGUUUCAAAUAGAAACUUGAAAAAGUAAUUACAAAGAUACUUCUAAGAGCUGUGUUUUGGACAGUCAGCAUAUAUUAUACCUUUCCAAUUAGUUUUCCAUACUGUAAAGAUUAACAGGCUCCAAGAAAGGUAUUUAAUUCCUUCAAGCUUUCUUUUUAUAUUGUUUCAUAUGUCCCUGCAAUGUAAGUUGAUGUUGUUGAGAGAAGAUGUAAUUCUUUUCCAUUCUUCUUAUUGGAAACAUUACACUGAACUUACAGAAUCAAUCUUCUAUCUGGUGUUCUUUAUCUAGACCAGCGGUUCUCAACCUGUGGGUCACGACCCCUUUGGUG
This is a long non-coding RNA of Myotis davidii, 1836 nucleotides long. RefSeq lists it as uncharacterized. The transcript has 3 exons. Lineage: Eukaryota; Metazoa; Chordata; Mammalia; Chiroptera; Vespertilionidae. The record is from RefSeq and is a predicted model, not a curated record.